ACUCAUAAGAUCGUGACACGUGGU
Molecule: non-coding RNA, 24 nt
Filed under: Arabidopsis thaliana (thale cress)
Lineage: Eukaryota; Viridiplantae; Streptophyta; Magnoliopsida; Brassicales; Brassicaceae
Source: RNAcentral